CACACCACUGUGGUGACACGUCCCCUAUAUGACUAUCUCUGUCCCCACGUUGUGAUUGCCCCUCCCCCACUCCACUUUACCGCGCAGAGCCAGAGAGGGAAAAUCACUUUCAUCUGGAGAAGCUCGUCCGUUAACACCGGGCGGCCCAUCUGCAGGUCCCCGCUGUUCCUAAAAGAAAGAUUAAGGAUUUGAGUUGGCCUGACGGAGAGAUCUUCCAGGCGACUCCGGCCCAUGGAGGAUGCAGAGCAUCACAUCAGAUCAAACAUUGAUAAACCAGUACUUUACCAGCGUUUUAUCAAUAUCUUUAAAGGACGGGGAGUUUUUGCCACUGAAUUCAUAUCCAAAGGAGACUUUGUUGUGGAGUACCGAGGUGAACUGCUUACACAACAGGAGGGCGAGG
Molecule: long non-coding RNA, 400 nt
Organism: Salvelinus namaycush (lake trout)
Lineage: Eukaryota; Metazoa; Chordata; Actinopteri; Salmoniformes; Salmonidae
Exons: 3
Source: RefSeq, a predicted model, not a curated record